This 76-nucleotide transfer RNA is filed under the name Bathytoshia brevicaudata (pitted stingray). RNAcentral's name for it is "tRNA-Asn". It matches the Rfam family "tRNA". From Rfam's summary of the family: Transfer RNA (tRNA) molecules are approximately 80 nucleotides in length. Lineage: Eukaryota; Metazoa; Chordata; Chondrichthyes; Myliobatiformes; Dasyatidae. The record is from RNAcentral.
UAGAUAAAAGUUCGCUGGAUAGAACGCUUAGCUGUUAACUAAGAUUUUAUAGGAUCGAGGCCUAUUUAUCUAGUAG